Molecule: ribosomal RNA, 490 nt
Filed under: uncultured bacterium
Lineage: Bacteria
Description: partial 16S ribosomal RNA
Rfam family: Bacterial small subunit ribosomal RNA
Source: RNAcentral
AGUGAACGCUGGCGGUAGGCCUAACACAUGCAAGUCGAACGGCAGCACAGUAAGAGCUUGCUCUUACGGGUGGCGAGUGGCGGACGGGUGAGGAAUACAUCGGAAUCUACUUUUUCGUGGGGGAUAACGUAGGGAAACUUACGCUAAUACCGCAUACGACCUACGGGUGAAAGCAGGGGAUCUUCGGACCUUGCGCGAUUGAAUGAGCCGAUGUCGGAUUAGCUAGUUGGCGGGGUAAAGGCCCACCAAGGCGACGAUCCGUAGCUGGUCUGAGAGGAUGAACCGCCACUGGAGAUGAGACACGCGCCAGAGACCUACGGGAGGGAGCAGAGUGGAAUAUUGGGCAAUAGGGGCGAACGUGAGACAGAGAUAUCGCGUGUGUGAGAAGAACGCUCGGGUGGUGAAGAGCUCUUUUGGGGGGAAAAAAGAGGAAGGUGUUAACACCGCGGUGUUGACGGUAGACAAAAAAUAAGCACCGGCUAACUCCGUG